Molecule: ribosomal RNA, 720 nt
Filed under: Triticum aestivum (bread wheat)
Lineage: Eukaryota; Viridiplantae; Streptophyta; Magnoliopsida; Poales; Poaceae
Description: partial small subunit ribosomal RNA
Source: RNAcentral
AUGAUAUCGAUACACAGGCAGUACCGAUUUGCCGCUCGCGCGCGCGUCCGUCGGUUACUUCACCUUGCCGAGCGUCGCCUUCUUCCACGUGGCCGCGACGUCCUCCAGCGCCCGGCGGGACGACCCUUCCGGCGACCACGCGCGCGCCGCCGCCUGCUGCAGGUCCCCGGCCUGCCGCCGUACGGCGCGCCCCUUCUCCGCACUCUCCAUCAGCUCCUUCACCGCGCCCGCGAUCUCGUCGCGCGCCACCACGCCGUCGGCCUCCCGCGGACGCAGCGGCAGCGCCACCCCGGCGCUCCCUACCAGGGCCACGGCGUUUAUCCGCUGCUCCGCGUACAGCGGCCACGCCACCAUCGGCACGCCGGCCGACACGCUCUCCAGAGUGGAGUUCCAGCCGCAGUGCGACACGAACACCGCCGUCGCCGGGUGGGACAGCACGCGCACCUGAGGCGCCCACGCCGCCACGGCCAGCCCCUUGUCCUUGGUCCUCUCCAGGAAGCCCUCCGGGAGCCACGCCAACGGGUUUGGGUUGUCGUCGUCACGGUCAUGGCCGUCCUUGCCACCGUCCAGAUUUGGCAUCCUCACGACCCAGAGGAACCGGUGGCCGCUCACUUCCAGCCCAGCGGCGAGCUCGGCCGUCUGCUCCACAGUCAGCGACCCGCCGCUCCCGAAGGAGACGUACACCACGGAUCCCGUCGGCUGGAGAUCGAGCCAGUCUAG